GAUGAAGAACGUAGCGAAAUGCGAUACGUAAUGUGAAUUGCAGAAUUCAGUGAAUCAUCGAAUCUUUGAACGCAUAUUGCGCUCUCUGGUAUUCCGGAGAGCAUGCUUGUUUGAGUAUCAGUAAACACCUCAACUUCCAUAUCUUUUUUGAAAUGGGAGUUGGACUUGAGUGAUCCCAACGCUUUUCCUCACCGAAAAGUGGCGGGUUACUUGAAAUGCAGGUGCAGCUGGACUUUUCUCUGAGCUAUAAGCAUAUCUAUUUAGUCUGCCUAAAAAACAGAUUAUUACCUUUGCUGCAGCUAACAUAAAGGAGAUUAGUUCUUGUGCUGACUGAUGCAGGAUUCACAUAGACAGGCUUCGGCCGACUUUGUAAACUCGAUCUCAACUCAAGUAAGACUACCCGCUGAACUUAAGCAUAUCAAUAAGCGGAGGA
This 433-nucleotide unclassified non-coding RNA is filed under the name soil metagenome. RNAcentral's name for it is "partial contains 5.8S ribosomal RNA, internal transcribed spacer 2, and large subunit ribosomal RNA". The stretch from base 1 to 120 matches the Rfam family "5.8S ribosomal RNA", at positions 35 to 154 of the family's 154-position model. The record is from RNAcentral.